AGCAGGGCGGAGGACGUAGAGGAGGAGAUGGCGCCCAUUUUCUCCCCGUUCCCUCCCCCUCCUCCCCGUGAUGUUCGAUUUAUUUUUCGGAAUCUGCUAUCCUGACGUGAAUUAACGGACUUGGCUGCAUCGGGUAGUGUCUGAGGGAGGUUGAAACGUCGAAUUAGGUCUGGACUUCACAUGACAGCAGACUCACAACAAUGUAGCUGACUUAACUACCCUCUGAGAUGGGCCAAAUGAGACUCUGUAUUCAAGGAGUGAUUUGAGAUGGCUGAAGAUGCCAACAUCCGUUGGAAAAUAAUAAGGAAAACCUUGCUGAGUACUUCCAGAAGUGAAAGCUUGGGUCAACAACAUGGAUAGAGAUUCUAAAGUUUAACUCCUACAGCUCUGCUUAAUCUGCUACACUUCCUUAACUGGCAAACUGAUACCUCGUCACGUCUUGGGUGACAUUACAAUAUUAAGACAUGAAAAACACCACUGCAGAUGCUGCCAGACCUGGUCUGUUUCCAUGCUGAAUGACACUUUGACUCUAGGAGGCCACUUGGACCCUUAAGCAUGGCUCGUGACGACUGAUCUGUGAUCUCAACUCCACUUUCUUAUCUUUCAUUCACUUAUCAUCUUUGAUGAUCAAAUAUCCUACUCACCACUUUGAAUAAAUU
Stegostoma tigrinum is the source of this 659-nucleotide long non-coding RNA. RefSeq lists it as uncharacterized. The record is from RefSeq and is a predicted model, not a curated record. The transcript has 4 exons. NCBI's taxonomy places the organism in Eukaryota, Metazoa, Chordata, Chondrichthyes, Orectolobiformes, Stegostomatidae.